AGAGAGGCCUAAUUCUCUCAGUAAAUAUAUGAAAACCUGUGUCUGGACUGUUGAAUUUCAGACUGCAGGUGGGAGCCUCACAUGUUUGAAUAUUUUGCUAUAGAAAAACAUCACUUUCCAUGCACAUAGAACAAUAAAUGUCCAUGUGAAAGCAACCUAAGACAUCAUUUUUCUAUACACAGAGGAAAAAACUGGAUGAACAGGAGGGAACAUUCAGACUUCACAGAGUCAGAAAUAGACCAUCCUGUGAAAUCUGUUCACCUGGAGAAGCAUAUGGGGACUCAAUACUUCCAAGUCACAUCGAAAAGGCAACAGUUUUAUUUAUAAUAGUAAAACAUUUAUAAGUCUUUUACAUAAAGUCUUCCAAGUCAAUUGGGUUAAUAAAACUGACAAAAUACUGUUAUCAUACUUUAACUAAUUUGACUUAUACACAGGAUUGUAAGAUUUGUGCCUUAUAGGAUAGAACAGUAAAUAAUGUAUGUGAAGGAUAGAUGACAGCAUUGAAUCAACUGAUUUAUGAAUAUUCUUGGCUAAUUUCCUGUAGAAGUGGUACGUCUAUUAGACAAUUUCUUUAGACUGAGGCUAUAAACUGUAGCUGAGAGAAGCAAAUCCAAUCUCUUCCUUAAAAUCUUCCAGUGAUUCUGGACAACAUUCUGCAUUGUUGAACUACUUUCACAGUAGGAACUGAUGGUUAUUAUUCUUUCUAAUUCUGAUAGGAAGGGUAUCAUAAAAAAGCAUCACUGCCUUCUAUCAACCUUUUAAAUAUUUGAAUAUCAAGAGUGUGUAAGGCUGAAAGAAUAUAAUGCAAAGAUGCAUGCUAUAUGACUUCAUCUUGUACCAGACAUAAUGAAGCAAACUCUGAAAAGCUCUUGUCACACCAAUUGGUGACACAAAAGCAUAAUAAAAGGUGGUACUUGCUACAUCAAAAGAUACUGUUGCCCGAGCAGGAAACAGACAUAGUAUGUGAUUUGCUUCCUCCACUUUCAACAGGAUGAUAUAUUGGUAUAUGCUGACAUCUUGUGGAAAUUCACUUUUUUAAUGGAGGUAAAAUUGAAAAUGGAAAUGAGAAACAAAAAGAAGGUCUGAGUAUGUUCAAGGGAACCUUGAGAAAUGCAAAAUGGAUAAAACCUUUGGGAGGUAAGCAACUCCAUCUCAAAGCAGCCAAAUGAAGAUGGAAAAUCACAGCAGAUGUGGAAUAUUAAGUGUCAGCCGGAAAAGUGGAAUGCAGGGGGAGGUGGGGGAAAAUGUCCAUAUAGUUCCUUAUAGCACCUUGAACAAGGUUAAUGUUUACUACACAUAAGAAUACACCACAACAUAGUAUUGCGGGACCAGUGUAUCAGAGGUUCAGAAAAGAAAAAUAUAAAGGUAUAUUUAAUAUAUGCUUGUCUUAAAUGCUCACAUCAUCAUCAGGUCUGAAGGGGUUUCCUCUACCACCAAUUCCUCCUGAUAUACUAAAUCCAAGCUCUGGAUCCUUUUCAAUUCUUACUCGAAUCUAAAAUAUGAACAGAACACAGAAAAGUGAAUAUGUAAUAUAGCCCAAGUCUUGAGAAAAUAAGUAGCUUAUAAGUCACUCAUAAAAUUAAUUAUUUUAAAAUUUAUUUGCUUUGGGGGGUAAUUUAUUGAUGCUUUAAAAUCGUCAAGUGCAGUAUACUCUUGGUAGAAUUCCCGAAUAACUUCUAUGACUGCAUGGACUGUAACAGCUGUAGAAAGACCACAAGCCACUUUCAUUUGGGCCUGACAGACAAAAGGCCCACAGUAAAACAUAUAGCAAAGUACACCCUUGUGGUACUUGGAAAACUGUGCCUAUUGAGCUAAUGUGACAAGAUUUAUGUGGAGGUGCCUUUGAAAAUUGUAUGGAAAUGCCAGCAAGUUUAGAAUACCACAGUCAGACCUUUGGCCAGGGCCAGUUAUGUGGAGUGGGUGACUUCCUCAUUACCACAACUUCACUGGCUACUGCUCUGUUUCCAGGCAAAAUUCUAAGAGUCAGUUAUGACCCAUAAAACCCGAUAAGGUUGAAGCAAGGCUAUUUGGAAGAUCAUAUUUUCUGUAUGUGCCUACCAGGUUUUAAGAUCUUUGUGAUGGUGAUAGUGUGCGUGUAGGGGGGAGCUUCUCUCAUUCCAGCCACUGUCAGAGGCAAGUUUAGUGAAAAUGCAAGGAAGCCUUCUCAGUGGGCACAACCAGGCUCUGUAGCUUCCUGUUGAGGCCAGUUAGGUUAGUUUGCACUCUGCUGUCAUUCCAAAAGUAGGUAGAAAGGUUUCAUUUAAGCAACCCCUUUAAGCAAAAGUUGGGUUGCUGUGGAAGGAGGAUUUAAUUUGGUGGGUGAUAUUUUGGUUGUUUAUUUUAAUUAUGUUUUUAAUUGAGGGAGUUUGUUUUUAUUUGUAUUUCACCAUUGUUACCCAACUUCACCACUUGUCUGGCAAAAAGGUGGGAUAUAUAUUGAGUUAAGAUAUCAGCACUAAAAGCUGGCAGUGUAUUUUAACAACAAUCUGAGAGCUUGUUUCAGAGACAUAAUUUUGACCCUUACCUCCUGCUUUGUGAGCUCAUGGCACUGCCUGGAUGGACCUUGGGACUGACUAUAGGGAGGCUGAUGGGCAACUUUAAGCAUCAAAUAAUCAAUCAGUUGUUCUCGGGAAGGAUGUCUUGCUACAGAUGUAAGAGGUGCAGUAUGAUGGACUUGACUAUAAUUUGCUUGAGGUCUUGGAGGUUGGCACAUCUGCCCAUUCGUCAAAGGUACCUGAGUAAGUGAAACAUCUUUAAGCAACCCAAGAAUAUAAUUUGUCUUUUUCAACUUUUUUAUGUUUUUUGCUCAGUUAAUAGUUCAGUAAUAUUUACAAGGUAUGUUGAUUUACAAUAUGUACACUGUAUUCUGUAAAAGAAAACAAACUGGAACAAUACAUAUUUUCCCAUUUCUGCCUACUACAGACUAGAUAGCCUCAUAAAGGGUUAAAUUAAUUCAUUUCAGCUGAGAAUUCUGGUGAAAAUGUUCAUAGAUUUUACAGUUUUUAAUCAGUCACUGCAGAAGGACUGAGAAUUUCCCAAUGUAUUGCAAUGUUAUUUCCACCAGGGAUAAUUCAUAUCCAGAAAAAGUGUAGCAGUGCUCAGAUAAUGAAAGAUUAUAUUCUACAAAACUGAAUAUAGCAAAGAAUAAACCAAAACACUCUGAUCUAUGUAGUUAACCAGGUAGAUGAUGAAAAUGGGUGUCAAUAAAUGCAAAUAAAAGCAAUGGGGGAGAGUAGGAAGUUUUAGAAAGAUUUAAUGUAAGAGGUUGAGUCAUGUUCUAAGAUACUUCUGUAAGUACACGGAUGUCCAUGUAUAUUCCCAGCUUCUUCAUUCAUUGAUCAUUACGUUUUAAAAUUAGUAGACAAUAGCCAUAAACAACCUUCAGCAAGUUCAGUGAAUAUCUACAAUUGUUAUUUUAAUUAAGAAGGACACAAUAACUUUUCCCUUCUUCAUAAGUAUGAACAAAAUGUAAUAGUGCUUAAGGCAUGCUGGAUUGGAGCCAGCAUGAAAGAGCAGACUAAAUUCAUUCCCACUGAUUUCAACCUGUUGCUUUAAUACAUUACUUGAAUUAUUACCUUCUCUAUUUUGUGGAAGUUAGCAAGUUUGGAUAACUGAACAAACACUGUAGUUGGGCCUUCCCAAUAAAGCAAAACAUUAAUUGAAGCUGUGAUUGUAUAAAAACUUCACUUCAGUGGGUCUUAAUUCUGAGAUAUGCAUAGAAUUGCACUGAAUAACAGUGGAUCAUGUUCUGUAUUUUAAAAUGUGCCCUUUAUGCUUAACUAAAUUUACUGAUAUUUAACAUUAAUUUAGUCACUACAAAUGCAUGGAAUUAUCUUGAGUGAAGCAGCUAAUUCAGACUUACAUUUAGCUAUGUAAAAAGUUGUUCUUUUUAUGUGUAGCACUUGCACUUAAACAACCAUCUUGUUUGGAAGCAACACUAAAGUAUAGUUAUCUAGACUAGUUUGGACUCAUGAGUUCCUCUCUUCUCUUCUAGGAGCAACUGCAAAGAUGUUGGAAGAGACAUUUCCAUGUUUAAGCUAACUGCCAAUACUAUUGUAUCUGGACACAGGCAACUGUGAUCACUAUUACCAAUGGUCUAAGGAACCAAACCAACUUUAAACCACAAUUUAAAGUUAAAGCAGUACAGAUAAUCAAUUUCAGCUAUCAUCAAUUACAACUAUUCUGACAAAAUGGGACAGCAGCCCUCCCUUGUCCAUAGCAGUGAGGAAGUAGGGAUGAGAACAAGAGUCAACUGUUCUUUGUUUUUGAUGGCAAGUCAACAGAGGCAGAACCAGUUGAUGAUGACUACAGUUGUCUCCAUCCUCUACCAUAAUCUGGAAUUCUGGUGAAAUCAUUAUGGGUAUAUAUUGCACAGCUGGCAUCAAGGCAAGACUUAAGAGUCGUAAAACAAAGGUCCUUGCUGUAUACUAAAAGAACAAACAAACAACCCUCUUGAGAAAUCUCUCUCCAUGAAUUUCCUCAAGCAAUAUAUAUUUGAUAAGAUUGUCCACAGGGAAUGAAACACUCCCCAACAUGUAUAUCUUAUUGCAUGGAACUGAAUAUGGUGGAAAAAAGAAAGAAAUGAAACAAAACCCUGGACUUGUUAUUGGAUAAAAAGUUAAGUAGAUACAAAGAACAGACUAGGAAGCCACCAAAGAAUGUAAAUAUGCAGGUAUAACACUGAUUUUCAAAACAUCAAUAA
Long non-coding RNA from Varanus komodoensis (Komodo dragon), 4702 nucleotides. RefSeq lists it as uncharacterized. The transcript is spliced from 5 exons. NCBI's taxonomy places the organism in Eukaryota, Metazoa, Chordata, Lepidosauria, Squamata, Varanidae. The record is from RefSeq and is a predicted model, not a curated record.